UCACUUCAGCAGUGCAUAUACUAAAAUUGGAAUGAUACAGAAAAGAUUUGCAUGGCCCCUGCACA
Molecule: small nuclear RNA, 65 nt
Organism: Macaca nemestrina (pig-tailed macaque)
Lineage: Eukaryota; Metazoa; Chordata; Mammalia; Primates; Cercopithecidae
Source: Ensembl